GAUGAACGCUGGCGGCGUGCCUAAUACAUGCAAGUCGAGCGAACAGACGAGGAGCUUGCUCCUCUGACGUUAGCGGCGGACGGGUGAGUAACACGUGGAUAACCUACCUAUAAGACUGGGAUAACUUCGGGAAACCGGAGCUAACACCGGAUAAUAUAUUGAACCGCAUGGUUCAAUAGUGAAAGACGGUUUUGCUGUCACUUAUAGAUGGAUCCGCGCCGCAUUAGCUAGUUGGUAAGGUAACGGCUUACCAAGGCAACGAUGCGUAGCCGACCUGAGAGGGUGAUCGGCCACACUGGAACUGAGACACGGUCCAGACUCCUACGGGAGGCAGCAGUAGGGAAUCUUCCGCAAUGGGCGAAAGCCUGACGGAGCAACGCCGCGUGAGUGAUGAAGGUCUUCGGAUCGUAAAACUCUGUUAUUAGGAAAGAACAAAUGUGUAAGUAACUAUGCACGUCUUGACGGUACCUAAUCAGAAAGCCACGGCUAACUACGU
RNAcentral lists this ribosomal RNA (496 nucleotides) under uncultured bacterium. Its description in RNAcentral is "partial 16S ribosomal RNA". It matches the Rfam family "Bacterial small subunit ribosomal RNA", at positions 28 to 506 of the family's 1533-position model. The record is from RNAcentral.